GAUUGCGGCCAUAGCUGUCGGGAAACACCUGGUCUCAUUCCGAACCCAGCAGUUAAGCUGACACACGUAGUAUGCUGUACUGAGGUACGCGAGUCCCCGGGAACCAUACCAAGCUGCAAUCA
Ribosomal RNA from Methanoregula formicica SMSP, 122 nucleotides. Lineage: Archaea; Methanobacteriati; Methanobacteriota; Methanomicrobia; Methanomicrobiales; Methanoregulaceae. The record is from Rfam.